This is a non-coding RNA of Kogia breviceps (pygmy sperm whale), 602 nucleotides long. Lineage: Eukaryota; Metazoa; Chordata; Mammalia; Artiodactyla; Physeteridae. The record is from RefSeq and is a predicted model, not a curated record.
UGAGCUCAGCAAUAGGGUCAGAAUGGGCUGCUCCAAACUUCCCAAACUCCACCCUGUGGCUUGAUUCACAGUUGUCCCGUGUUCACAUGGACAGGUGGGAAAAGUUUCUGCUGAGAGAAUCAUGUAUCAAGUUCUUUUGUCUCCCUAACUUCCCUUUCCCCUGGCCUCGGCCUUCAGCCUGCCUCUAGAUUUUCCUGCACCAAGUAUCUGUGAUUCACUUCACCUCUUUCUGAGGCUGUGAGGGCUGAUCCAAGAGCUAUGGUGGGUGAGUGUCAACAACAGAGUUGGAACAUCUGGCAACACUGAAUCGACAGUCCUGCAUAUCAGUGAUGCAGCUGAGCUGUGGCUACUCCCUUAAGAUAAAGCCUAUUGUACAUAUAGGUAUAGAUUGUUCCAACCUGACGUCACUGAUUGAUUCCACCUGACACCAAUUCCCUCUAUAACCGGUAACCUCCCCCUCGCUCCCGGGAGUGAAGACCACCGCCCCGUCCAGCCUGGCCUGUCUGCCACGCAUCGUAGGAUGUUGCUGCAGGAUCCUGCUUCAGACGCUUCAGACGUGUAAGCUCCCCCACUCACGAAACCAUUGGCGUCUCUGUUGCUGA